AAGUACAAUCCUCGAAUUUCGAGAAUUCACUUCCUUACAUCCUCCCCUCCUUAAAAAGAGUUUCGUCCUCGAAACUAACUCAUUUCUUCACUUUAAUUUAAAUUCAUACCUUAUUCCUCAAAUAGAUGAGGAUGGUGCUUUCUCAUCAGAUCCUCGAGUUCCCAGGUGGCUUCGCGAUCCUCGUGAUUGCUCCACCUGACCUUCACAUAAGGAAUUUCUCGAUUUCUCAAUUUUCGCACCUCU
RNAcentral lists this long non-coding RNA (243 nucleotides) under Ananas comosus (pineapple). RNAcentral's name for it is "long non-coding RNA (ACOM_LNC030703)". The record is from RNAcentral. Lineage: Eukaryota; Viridiplantae; Streptophyta; Magnoliopsida; Poales; Bromeliaceae.